Molecule: ribosomal RNA, 1611 nt
Filed under: Triticum aestivum (bread wheat)
Lineage: Eukaryota; Viridiplantae; Streptophyta; Magnoliopsida; Poales; Poaceae
Description: partial small subunit ribosomal RNA
Source: RNAcentral
AUGGGUAAUUUUACCCAUGGGUACCCAUGUACCCUGUCGGGUAACGGGUAUGGGGAAAAAUUAUACCCAUUGAUGGGUAUGGGUAAGGGUGAUGGUCUCCUGCCUGAGCAUUCUCCCAUGUUUGGAUCCAAUGAAGAGCAGAAGAAGACCCAUGUAGAUUUGGUGGAUGGGAGCGAACUAGGCGAUCGAGGGAGAAUGAACGAGGGAGCGAGGGGUGCGAACGAGCAGAAGUUUUUUUUUUUUUUUGAGACAGCGAACGAGCAGAAGUGGAACAAGCGAACGAGGCAAGCUGGGCCGGCCCAGUUCGCGUGCGUGUGGGCGCCAGAACGGGAACCGGCGCUGAAGGCGCCCGUUAGGAGCUCCCCGGGGCCCCUGCCUCCCCGUUUUCCCGGCCUAUGGGCCGGGCCUGACAGCACGCAGCGGCGGCGCCGCCACCGGUCCCCAACGAGCUCGUCUAAGAGAUCCUCCUCCGAAUCUCGCCCGACGGCCCAGCCUGCCCCCUCCGUGCCCCCCUCGUCCGCAAGACCUGGAGCCACACCGUCUCGCACCCGGGUUUCCGACGCCGCCUCCACGAGAUCCACCGGGCAGCCCCCCGCGCUCGGAUUCCUCCACAACAGGGCCGACGAGCGCAAACCCUGCUUCAUCCCACCACCGCCUCGCCCUUCUUCCAUGCCGCCCCAGACUGCCGCUCCUGGUGGGCCCGCCACGGCCGCGCCCUCUUCCUCUCCAAGGACGGGUGCGACCACCGCGGCUGCCUCGCGGGUCCUUUCCGCUUGGCCUUCCUCUUCGCCGUCCAGGAAGACACUGACGACGGACAGUGCGUCGAUCAUGGGGCAUGACUGUUCGCCCCACCAGGCGGAGGACAGUGGGCUGGGAGUAGUCCAAGACCUGGAUCCGCAUCUCAAAUUGUGGACAAGAGUGGCGAGUGACAUGCACGACUUGCUCUUUUCUCAGCUUCCACACUCAUGUACCCCGAGGCAAGCGCACCAGACUUUGCCAGCUUCAAAGCCCAGUGAGGAGGCAGGUUAUGAGGAGAAGGGGGGAGAGGAGGAGAAACCAGUAAACCGGCACAUAAGCAGCUAUUGGACGAGGGAACCAAUGCUAUCAAGGAAGGGGACUUUGUCAACACCUUUGAAUGCGUCAGCCAUGACCUCAAGAUCAGGAGACGAUUGUAGAGCUGUAUUAGAUGUUCUACGACGAGGUGGUUGCCAGGCGGUGUUUGUCUUUCUUUUGUUCGGACGCGAGCCUGAUUGUGUGGCUCCUUGUUAUGGAGAAGGUGCUAGCACGCUCAACAAACAUGGAUAUGCCUUGCUACCGAAAGAUUCUCUUGGUGAUGUUCCUAAGAGGGCACCAAAUGAGGAAUCAGCGAAGGGUACAACCAGCAAAGAUGAUGCCGGGAACCUGACGACCUCUGAUAGCAAUGUUGAUGGUGCUCCACCUUCGGAGAAGCUGCACAACCAAGAUCAACUCCCAAAUGUGCAAGAACUCAGCCAGGCCUGCGACCAUGAGUUUGCCAACAAUGUCCUGCAUCCACCGAUUGUCCAAAAGAGCCUCUUUCAUGGCCCGCUUGUCCACUCUUCGCUUAUGGAUUACCGGCUAACUGAGUCAUGA